UAUUUUGAGUAAUCGCUAUAGUAAUAUAGAGGAAAGUCCAUGCUCACACAAUCUGAGAUGAUUGUAGUGUUCGUGCUUGACGAAACAAUAAGUCAAGGCAUUAAGUUGACGGCGGUGACCUAACCUAAGUCUUUGAUAUGGUUACAAUAGCCUGAAAGUGCCACAGUGACGUAGCUUUUAUAGAAAUAUAAAAGGUGGAACGCGGUAAACCCCUCGAGUGAGCAAUCCAAAUUUGGUAGGAGCACUUGUCUAAUGGAAGUCAACAUAUAGACGAGGUAUUUAUAUUCGUAAUAUAUAAAUUCAGACAGAUGAUUACUGCCGGCGUACGAGUGUGACUAGUGCACGUUAGUAGUACUAAGGUACAGAACAUGGCUUACAAAA
Molecule: RNase P RNA, 381 nt
Filed under: Staphylococcus massiliensis
Lineage: Bacteria; Bacillati; Bacillota; Bacilli; Caryophanales; Staphylococcaceae
Also listed under: 2 other names
Description: RNase P RNA component class B
Rfam family: Bacterial RNase P class B
About the family: Ribonuclease P (RNase P) is a ubiquitous endoribonuclease, found in archaea, bacteria and eukarya as well as chloroplasts and mitochondria. Its best characterised activity is the generation of mature 5'-ends of tRNAs by cleaving the 5'-leader elements of precursor-tRNAs.
Source: RNAcentral